This 585-nucleotide ribosomal RNA is filed under the name Neurospora sitophila. RNAcentral describes it as "eukaryotic LSU rRNA". The stretch from base 230 to 383 matches the Rfam family "5.8S ribosomal RNA". Lineage: Eukaryota; Fungi; Ascomycota; Sordariomycetes; Sordariales; Sordariaceae. The record is from RNAcentral.
GUCCUUAUGUAGGAUUAGUGACCAGCGGAGGGACAUUACAGAGUUGCAAAACUCCCACAAACCAUCGCGAAUCUUACCCGUACGGUUGCCUCGGCGCUGGCGGUCCGGAAAGGCCCUCGGGUCCUCCCGGAUCCUCGGGUCUCCCGCUCGCGGGAGGCUGCCCGCCGGAGUGCCGAAACUAAACUCUUGAUAUUUUAUGUCUCUCUGAGUAAACUUUUAAAUAAGUCAAAACUUUCAACAACGGAUCUCUUGGUUCUGGCAUCGAUGAAGAACGCAGCGAAAUGCGAUAAGUAAUGUGAAUUGCAGAAUUCAGUGAAUCAUCGAAUCUUUGAACGCACAUUGCGCUCGCCAGUAUUCUGGCGAGCAUGCCUGUUCGAGCGUCAUUUCAACCAUCAAGCUCUGCUUGCGUUGGGGAUCCGCGGCUGCCCGCGGUCCCUCAAAAUCAGUGGCGGGCUCGCUAGUCACACCGAGCGUAGUAACUCUACAUCGCUAUGGUCGUGCGGCGGGUUCUUGCCGUAAAACCCCCCAUUUCUAAGGUUGACCUCGGAUCAGGUAGGAAUACCCGCUGAACUUAAGCAUAUCAAA